AGAGUUUGAUCCUGGCUCAGGAUGAACGCUGGCGGCGUGCCUAAUACAUGCAAGUCGAGCGAACCGACGAGGAGCUUGCUCCUUUGAGGUUAGCGGCGGACGGGUGAGUAACACGUGGGCAACCUGCCCUUAAGACUGGGAUAACAUCGAGAAAUCGGUGCUAAUACCGGAUAACUGAUUAGACCGCAUGGUCUAAUUAUGAAAGAUGGCUUCGGCUAUUACUUAAGGAUGGGCCCGCGGCGCAUUAGCUAGUUGGUGGGGUAACAGCCUACCAAGGCAACGAUGCGUAGCCGACCUGAGAGGGUGAUCGGCCACAUUGGGACUGAGACACGGCCCAAACUCCUACGGGAGGCAGCAGUAGGGAAUCUUCCGCAAUGGACGAAAGUCUGACGGAGCAACGCCGCGUGAGUGAUGAAGGUCUUCGGAUCGUAAAACUCUGUUGUUAGGGAAGAACAAGUAUCGUUCGAAUAGGGCGGUACCUUGACGGUACCUAACCAGAAAGCCACGGCUAACUACGUGCCAGCAGCCGCGGUAAUACGUAGGUGGCAAGCGUUAUCCGGAAUUAUUGGGCGUAAAGCGCGCGCAGGCGGUUUCUUAAGUCUGAUGUGAAAGCCCACGGCACAACCGUGGAGGGUCAUUGGAAACUGGGAAGCUUGAGUGCAGAAGAGGAGAGUGGAAUUCCAUGUGUAGCGGUGAAAUGCGUAGAGAUAUGGAGGAACACCAGUGGCGAAAGGCGACUCUCUGGUCUGCAACUGACGCUGAGGCGCGAAAGCGUGGGG
Molecule: ribosomal RNA, 779 nt
Filed under: uncultured bacterium
Lineage: Bacteria
Description: bacterial SSU rRNA
Rfam family: Bacterial small subunit ribosomal RNA
Source: RNAcentral